Molecule: ribosomal RNA, 1336 nt
Filed under: Lactiplantibacillus plantarum
Lineage: Bacteria; Bacillati; Bacillota; Bacilli; Lactobacillales; Lactobacillaceae
Description: bacterial SSU rRNA
Source: RNAcentral
AAACCUGCCCAGAAGCGGGGGAUAACACCUGGAAACAGAUGCUAAUACCGCAUAACAACUUGGACCGCAUGGUCCGAGYUUGAAAGAUGGCUUCGGCUAUCACUUUUGGAUGGUCCCGCGGCGUAUUAGCUAGAUGGUGGGGUAACGGCUCACCAUGGCAAUGAUACGUAGCCGACCUGAGAGGGUAAUCGGCCACAUUGGGACUGAGACACGGCCCAAACUCCUACGGGAGGCAGCAGUAGGGAAUCUUCCACAAUGGACGAAAGUCUGAUGGAGCAACGCCGCGUGAGUGAAGAAGGGUUUCGGCUCGUAAAACUCUGUUGUUAAAGAAGAACAUAUCUGAGAGUAACUGUUCAGGUAUUGACGGUAUUUAACCAGAAAGCCACGGCUAACUACGUGCCAGCAGCCGCGGUAAUACGUAGGUGGCAAGCGUUGUCCGGAUUUAUUGGGCGUAAAGCGAGCGCAGGCGGUUUUUUAAGUCUGAUGUGAAAGCCUUCGGCUCAACCGAAGAAGUGCAUCGGAAACUGGGAAACUUGAGUGCAGAAGAGGACAGUGGAACUCCAUGUGUAGCGGUGAAAUGCGUAGAUAUAUGGAAGAACACCAGUGGCGAARGCGGCUGUCUGGUCUGUAACUGACGCUGAGGCUCGAAAGUAUGGGUAGCAAACAGGAUUAGAUACCCUGGUAGUCCAUACCGUAAACGAUGAAUGCUAAGUGUUGGAGGGUUUCCGCCCUUCAGUGCUGCAGCUAACGCAUUAAGCAUUCCGCCUGGGGAGUACGGCCGCAAGGCUGAAACUCAAAGGAAUUGACGGGGGCCCGCACAAGCGGUGGAGCAUGUGGUUUAAUUCGAAGCUACGCGAAGAACCUUACCAGGUCUUGACAUACUAUGCAAAUCUAAGAGAUUAGACGUUCCCUUCGGGGACAUGGAUACAGGUGGUGCAUGGUUGUCGUCAGCUCGUGUCGUGAGAUGUUGGGUUAAGUCCCGCAACGAGCGCAACCCUUAUUAUCAGUUGCCAGCAUUAAGUUGGGCACUCUGGUGAGACUGCCGGUGACAAACCGGAGGAAGGUGGGGAUGACGUCAAAUCAUCAUGCCCCUUAUGACCUGGGCUACACACGUGCUACAAUGGAUGGUACAACGAGUUGCGAACUCGCGAGAGUAAGCUAAUCUCUUAAAGCCAUUCUCAGUUCGGAUUGUAGGCUGCAACUCGCCUACAUGAAGUCGGAAUCGCUAGUAAUCGCGGAUCAGCAUGCCGCGGUGAAUACGUUCCCGGGCCUUGUACACACCGCCCGUCACACCAUGAGAGUUUGUAACACCCAAAGUCGGUGGGGUAACCUUUUA